RNAcentral lists this ribosomal RNA (253 nucleotides) under uncultured bacterium. Its description in RNAcentral is "partial 16S ribosomal RNA". It matches the Rfam family "Bacterial small subunit ribosomal RNA", at positions 524 to 776 of the family's 1533-position model. The record is from RNAcentral.
UACAGAGGUCCCAAGCGUUGUUCGGAUUCAUUGGGCGUAAAGGGCGCGUAGGCGGCGUGGUAAGUCACUUGUGAAAUCUCCGGGCUUAACUCGGAACGGUCAAGUGAUACUGCUGCGCUAGAGUGCGGAAGGGGCAACUGGAAUUCUCGGUGUAGCGGUGAAAUGCGUAGAUAUCGAGAGGAACACCUGCGGCGAAGGCGGCUUUCUGGGACGGUACUGACGCUGAGACGCGAAAGCGUGGGGAGCGAACAGG